AGAGCAUUUAACAUAACUGUCUUCAUCAUCUCCUUCUCUACAUUAAAAAUUAUGGUUCACACAGACGUUAUUGGUGAUUCACUCUUGAGUCAUGAAAAGUCAACCUUGAGCCACAGAAAGUCAACCUUGAGCCAUGCAGAGUGGAGAGUCAUACAUGCCAUUCCUGGGACCAUCAAAAAUGGCAGAGGUCACACAAAAGGCAAAACUUUUAAGAGGUGUUUUAAACGUCGUAUGGGCCAAAGAGAAGCUGGAUUUCCUAUUGGAGUCAGCUGUAACACACGUGUGAUGAAAUUGGCCUGUGAGGACAAGGCAGUGAGCAGAGAGGACAGCAGUCCUUAUGAGAUCAAGCUCUAAGGUAUCCUAGAUACAUUUGGAGAAUUCACCUGAGCUACAGGAUGUGAAAAGUUGCUAAAACUGCUGUGAGAUUCUGGCUAAGAAAGUUUCAUGAGAAGUUUUACAGAAAAAUGUGAACAGAAGACAGAACUAGAUAUAAAUUUGAAUGUUUUGAGAAGAAUGCGAAGAAGAAAGGAAGAGUGAGCCUCUCUUUCCCAUCGUUACCCUCCAUUGUCCUCUUGACACCCUGCUUUCACAGAGAAAGAGUUUGAGACCCUCUCCCAGGAGCCAAGGAGAGGGGAACAGCUGGCUUCACAUCAUCUUUCUAUUCAACAAGAUACAAAAAGCUGAAGCCAGGAUGAUAGAAAAGCAACAAAGAAGACACGGUCCUUACUCAUUUCCCUUCCC
Molecule: long non-coding RNA, 741 nt
Filed under: Pan troglodytes (chimpanzee)
Lineage: Eukaryota; Metazoa; Chordata; Mammalia; Primates; Hominidae
Description: lincRNA
Source: RNAcentral